GCAGUGGUGGCGCAGUGGUUAAGGAGCUGGGCUAGCAGCCAGGAAGUUGUGGGUUCAAUUCCCAGUCUCUUUCG
Molecule: transfer RNA, 74 nt
Filed under: Alosa alosa (allis shad)
Lineage: Eukaryota; Metazoa; Chordata; Actinopteri; Clupeiformes; Clupeidae
Description: tRNA-OTHER
Source: RNAcentral